RNAcentral lists this ribosomal RNA (468 nucleotides) under uncultured bacterium. RNAcentral describes it as "partial 16S ribosomal RNA". It matches the Rfam family "Bacterial small subunit ribosomal RNA", at positions 28 to 507 of the family's 1533-position model. The record is from RNAcentral.
GACGAACGCUGGCGGCGUGCUUAACACAUGCAAGUCGAACGGAAAGGCCCUGCUUUUGUGGGGUGCUCGAGUGGCGAACGGGUGAGUAACACGUGAGUAACCUGCCCUUGACUUUGGGAUAACUUCAGGAAACUGGGGCUAAUACCGGAUAGGAGCUCCUGCUGCAUGGUGGGGGUUGGAAAGUUUCGGCGGUUGGGGAUGGACUCGCGGCUUAUCAGCUUGUUGGUGGGGUAGUGGCUUACCAAGGCUUUGACGGGUAGCCGGCCUGAGAGGGUGACCGGCCACAUUGGGACUGAGAUACGGCCCAGAGCCCUACGGGAGGCAGCAGUGGGGAAUAGUGCACAAUGGGCGUAAGCCUGAUGCAGCAACGCCGCGUGCGGGAUGACGGCCUUCGGGUUGUAAACCGCUUUCGCCUGUGACGAAGCGUGAGUGACGGUAAUGGGUAAAGAAGCACCGGCUAACUACGUG